Otolemur garnettii (small-eared galago) is the source of this 82-nucleotide non-coding RNA. Lineage: Eukaryota; Metazoa; Chordata; Mammalia; Primates; Galagidae. The record is from Rfam.
GGUAGUGUGGCCGAGCGGUCUAAGGCGCUGGAUUUAGGCUCCAGUCUCUUUGGAGGCGUGGGUUCGAAUCCCAUCACUGCCA